AUUGAACGCUGGCGGCAGGCUUAACACAUGCAAGUCGAGCGGGGAAGGUUGCUUUGGUAACUGACCUAGCGGCGGACGGGUGAGUAAUGCUUAGGAAUCUGCCUAUUAGUGGGGGACAACAUUCCGAAAGGAAUGCUAAUACCGCAUACGCCCUACGGGGGAAAGCAGGGGAUCUUCGGACCUUGCGCUAAUAGAUGAGCCUAAGUCGGAUUAGCUAGUUGGUUGGGUAAAGGCCUACCAAGACGACGAUCUGUAGCGGGUCUAAGAGGAUGAGCCGCCAAACUGGGACUGAGACACGGCCCAGACUCCGACGGGAGGCAGCAGUGGGUAAUGUUGGACAAUGGGCGGAAGCCUGAUCCAGCCAUGCCGCGUGUGUGAAGAAAGCCUUUUGGUUGUAAAGCACUUUAAGCGAGGAGGAGGCUCCUUUAGUUAAUACCUAAAGAGAGUGGACGUUACUCGCAGAAUAAGCACCGGCUAACUCUGUGCCAGCCGCCGCCGUAC
Molecule: ribosomal RNA, 501 nt
Filed under: uncultured bacterium
Lineage: Bacteria
Description: partial 16S ribosomal RNA
Rfam family: Bacterial small subunit ribosomal RNA
Source: RNAcentral